CCUACGGGAGGCAGCAGUGGGGAAUCUUGCACAAUGGAGGAAACUCUGAUGCAGCGAUGCCGCGUGAGUGAAGAAGGCCUUUGGGUUGUAAAGCUCUUUUGUAGGGGAAGAUAAUGACUGUACCCUAAGAAUAAGGUCCGGCUAACUUCGUGCCAGCAGCCGCGGUAAUACGAAGGGACCUAGCGUAGUUCGGAAUUACUGGGCGUAAAGCGCGCGUAGGCCGUUGAGUUAGUUAAUUGUGAAAUCCCAAAGCUUAACUUUGGAACUGCAAUUAAAACUGCUCGACUAGAGUUUGAUAGAGGAAAGCGGAAUACAUAGUGUAGAGGUGAAAUUCGUAGAUAUUAUGUAGAACACCAGUUGCGAAGGCGGCUUUCUGGAUCAACACUGACGCUGAGGCGCGAAAGUAUGGGUAGCAAAGAGGAUUAGAUACCCUCGUAGUCCAUACCAUAAACGAUGGUUGCUAGAUGUUGGAAAUUUAUUUUCAGUAUCGCAGCUAACGCAUUAAGCAAUCCGCUGGGGAUCGACCGNAGGUUAAACNAAAGAUGACGNUGNGANGCGAGNGACAGAGGAGNG
Molecule: ribosomal RNA, 573 nt
Filed under: uncultured bacterium
Lineage: Bacteria
Description: bacterial SSU rRNA
Rfam family: Bacterial small subunit ribosomal RNA (bases 1-515)
Source: RNAcentral